The sequence is a ribosomal RNA, 437 nucleotides long. It matches the Rfam family "Bacterial small subunit ribosomal RNA", at positions 341 to 792 of the family's 1533-position model.
ACGGGAGGCAGCAGUGGGGAAUAUUGGGCAAUGGGCGAAAGCCUGACCCAGCAACGCCGCGUGAAGGAAGAAGGCCUUCGGGUUGUAAACUUCUUUUACCAGGGACGAAGGACGUGACGGUACCUGGAGAAAAAGCAACGGCUAACUACGUGCCAGCAGCCGCGGUAAUACGUAGGUUGCAAGCGUUAUCCGGAUUUACUGGGUGUAAAGGGCGCGUAGGCGGGGAUGCAAGUCAGAUGUGAAAUCCAUGGGCUCAACCCAUGAACUGCAUUUGAAACUGUAUCUCUUGAGUGCUGGAGAGGUAGAUGGAAUUCCUAGUGUAGCGGUGAAAUGCGUAGAUAUUAGGAAGAACACCAGUGGCGAAGGCGAUCUACUGGACAGUAACUGACGCUGAGGCGCGAAAGCGUGGGGAGCAAACAGGAUUAGAUACCCUGGUA